Bolinopsis microptera is the source of this 454-nucleotide long non-coding RNA. RefSeq lists it as uncharacterized. Lineage: Eukaryota; Metazoa; Ctenophora; Tentaculata; Lobata; Bolinopsidae. The transcript has 3 exons. The record is from RefSeq and is a predicted model, not a curated record.
CACUACUAUAUAACAAAUAAUUUGAGAAGCCAGAACAUGAAAACGACGGUGAUAAUUAUUACGACUUUGCUUUGGUUACCCCUAAAAGGUGCACUAAGACCGGAGGAACCAGGAGAGAUAGUACCUGCAUCUGUGUCUCAGUCUGCGACUUAUAAAAAUGACGUGGCUAAGUAUGGAGCAGAUAAUGCUAUAGACAGGGACCUGAGCACCCGUUCUUAUGCAAUACCAGGAGGGGAUAGUAAGCCCUGGUUUAGAGCGUCUCUAGAUAAGGAACACUGCAUUAAGCAGGUAGUGCAUUAUUAUGGCUCACGUGAGUCCAUGAAGAACACUCACACCUGCUCUAGAGACUCGUGUACCUGUGAGGGAGGGUGGUGUGAUUGGUUGCCCCUCACAGUGUACCAUGAAAACACGGUCUUUGGAGAUUAUGUCCCCUCCGGGUGUAAACUUGGGGACA